AAUUACUACGUGUUAUGCGUUGGAAUCUGUACAGCACACAAUUGUGACAUCUUGUGGUUGUAAGGAUGAACGGAAAAACUCCCUCAUUUAUCAGUUUAUCAUUUUGAAUUAAGAGUUUUGGAGAUUAGGACAAGAUUUUCUUCGCUUGCAUGUUUCUUUGCAAGUAAAUGUUUCGUUUCAGAUUUGACAAAUGUCCCUAUAACAAAACUAACAACAGAAAAAGCGCAGUUUGACUCAGACAUCAGAUUCAACGACUAAACCUACUGGCUGUCAAAGCAGCAGGACUUUGCAACAGAGUACUGUCACUCUGUCACACUCUGCAAGGCAGAGUCAAGGACAGCAGGUGGUGCCAAAGACCAAACAGACUGCCUCUGGGGAAAAUCCCUGUCUUAGCAGUCAUGUCAACUGAUAUCCAUCACUGUUAAACACAUGUACUUUCUUAUUUCUUACAUAUGUAUUGAAAAUAUAUAUAGUUUUACUCAAUAUGAAUAUAUGUAUUUAACAUUACUUUAUAUUGGCACUGUGCUUGUGUCUCUCUGUAUGAAAUAAUUUGCAAGCAGAAAUAUCAUUGGUUGGAGUAUUUAUACACGUUGGCUCCACAUGUUGGUCAGUGUGUAAGAGCAAAAACAAAUGCCAAAAUGAGACCUGGUACCCUUAUUGUAGGUUAAACUAAUGUGCUUCUGUCUACGUGGGGUUGCUUGUAAGGAACCUAUUUCUCCCAGUGUUCUCAAGUAGGUGCCCUACAGCUACUAAGCAUCCUGAACUAAGAUUUCAUACCUCUAGCAAAUUAGUGAAGACUUCUGUGAAAUGGCCAUUUGAAGCCCCGCAACAGUAUAACUGCACUUGGCAGACAUGCACUUCAGUGAUGCCAUAAAAAUUCCCCAGAAUCCAAUUGGACUCCAAAUGUGAUUAUUGUGUCUGAUAUCGUGUUUUUCUAGUAGUCUACUAAUUUUUAACUAUUCCUUCUGUAACUUGCAGACUCACGGAAUGUAUCAGACCAAAGACCUUUCCUGCACAUUAUAGACUGCCUUCCGUAAUAUAGCAGAACUGUUAGGUGGGCAAAAUUAACAUUCGAUGGCCUUGUCGGAUCUAUUACGUGGACAGAAUUACUUUUGCCCACAAUAAAUUAGUUAAUUUUGUCCUCAAACUAAGAUGUCCAUUCAGCCUUUUUUCCACGACAGAAUGUGCUCUCCUCAAUGUUCCGUGGACACAAUGCUAACGCAUUUGUGCUUUUCGUGGACAAAUGGCAUUACGGUGUGGGUGACCAGACGUCCUCUUUUACCCGUACAUGUGUCAUAUGUGGGUGUUGAGUGACUGUAAGUGUGUUAUGAUGUUGCUUUGUUUUGUUGGGCACCGCCCCCUUGACUGGUGCGCCUCACGAACAUCUGAUGGCAUGGUACAGGUGCUGAUAAUUAUGUCUCUGCUUGAGAUCCUUUUAAAAAUGAGCACUGUCUGUGCAUGCUGGACAUCACGCAAGGAUGGCUAUAGUGUGAUAUAGAGCAUUUGUUAGUUUUUUGGCGUUUGCGGGUUACCCGGACGUCUGUUGUUCGAGAUCCGAAGUUGGCUGUUUCCCUACUGCGUUGGAGUGGAGGCUGUGUGGGAUCCGCCGCUUCUGCGUUCGUGGGUUGCCAGGAAAAAUCUGAUCUGAGUUGUCCGUUGACUGAGAGAAGCGUCAUUGAACACUGACUGGGAACUAGAUUCGUCUGCUCCCGGUUCAAUAGUGUGUGCCUUUGUCUGCUAAUAAACUGAGUGAGUUACGUUUUAGCACUAUACAACGUAGAGCCGUUAUUGGCUAUUGUCUUUGGGUUGAUUUACUUUUGGUUGACAUUAUUACUUUUUAGUGUGUCGGUUAUUUACUUUCUGUUUGCUGUGAGUGUGCAUUGCCACUUGUGGAGAUUCUGGCGAUUCUCUCUCUCUCUGUGUGCGUGCUUUGCAGACCAAAAAAAGCAGCUACGGUGCGGUGGUGGAUGCUGACGGACUUUGCUUGCGGACUUUUGGAUACUGCGGACUCUUGGACAUUGUGGACUGUGCUUCCUUCGGCAGCCUGAUUCACAUGGACUUAGAUAACUUUGGGUGUAUUUUAUAUUUUAGAGCAAGCUUGUAAUAAAUACUAUAUUUUUGUAUCAGAAACUGAAGUCUUGAUGAAUCUGGUGUUGCUCCCACUAAACAAAUAACCUAAACAGUGAAAAGUAAACUAGUCCCAUCUCUGUAAACUGGGUGGCGUAGUCGGUCUACACUGCCGCACUCCCGUUACACAUGCCCUCUUUUCGAGACCUAAAAAAUGCAUCCGGCAGAGAUUCCAAACUCGUCCGGGAUUUUGCCUCGUCGGAUAUUUGUGUUUCUCUGGGUCUUUCACAAACUAGUUAUUACGCCCUUACAAGUUUUGGAAAGGGUAUCUCCCUCACGUUCCACCUUCUUGCGCGAGCUCUGACUAGACUAGAGAACUGUCAUUGGUCGACUGCUUUCUCAGUGUUGCCUGAUGUACGAUACUUAUCCUCCAAAUACGAUAAUCUUGAGCCUUUGGUUUGAUACUUUGCCAUUCCCAAUCUGGCAACACUGAGCACCUUGCCGCCUCGCUAGUUGCAUUGUUUAGAACAGCACAUGACAUGGAUGUGAACAAUGUCACAACUUCCAGGGGGCGGGGUCAUCUGCAUGUGAAAAAUGUUAAAACUGCUACACACUACUCUGCCCCCUCCCCCGCUACGAAGUGUCCUCUUUUUCACAAACUCAAAUCUGUCCACCCUAGAUAAAUGCAUUUGUUUAUUGUUGAUAAAGGCAUUUGGUACAUCACAUAAUGCGUUCUGUCUAUUAAAUAAAGUCUGUUACACAUGGCGUCUCACUCUAAAUUUCGUUGUAUGCAAAUACAAUGACAAUAAAGGCUUUUCUAUUUCUAUGUGCACCUCGCUAGCACACCUGCCUCCAAUGUCCAAGGUUGCGAGUGUGAGUCCGGUGCAGGACUGAGCUGUCACGCAACACAGGUUCCGCAACCUCUCUAGUUGAGGCUCAGCGCUGCUCCUCCAACCAAUACAUGUUUGCCAACACAGUUUGAACCAUUAGGGAUUAUACAUGUUCAGCCUGAUGAUUUACUGUUUAUAAAAUUUGAAAUAGUAUUACCUCAGGAAUUUAUGUCACUCGAUUUCUCCCAUUGCUAAGAAGGCCGUUUCCUGGUGAGAAGGCGCAGGAGCAAUGGCUAAUAAUACAGUGUAAUCUUGUCAAAGGUGCUUAUGUUCCAGAGACCUGUGACUGUAUAUGGAUUAUAUUGUUGAAACCAUAUUUACCAGGUUGUUAUCAGUGUCAUGGAUUGUCUGCGUCUGAGACUAUAAACCCUCUUUCUGCACUUGCAGAGCAGACCACUGUUGGCAUGUAUCACCUGACAGAUAAACUGAUAGGCAUGUCCAUUCAUCUGCUGUCCACAGGUCUUCUUGCUCUGCUAUUGUGCCUUUCCACCAAGGGUUUCCCAAGACAAGUCAAUGGCAUUGAGUUCUACAGCGACCUAGAGAGGUCGCACCUCCUGCUGAAGGAAAGCAACUCUCAGACCAGUUUUGACUCCAAGGCCAAUGCUCAAGCUGAUAAUGGCCUGUUUGAAGAGGAUCCCGAAUUCAUGUCGGUUAUUCCAAAGGGCAAUUCUGGCACCAAACAUGGAUUGCCUGCACCUCCCAAGGAGGUAUCUGUCAAGAACAAGACUGAAGCUUUAAGAGGGCCUGCACUGAAACGAGCCAGACGGGAUAUUAUUGCAACCACCACAAAAGCUCCCACCACUACCACAACAGCACCCACAACAGCUACAGAAGCUACCACAACAGCUGCUGCAACCACAACAACAGAGCCAGCAACCACAACAACAGUGGCUGAAAAUACCACAACAGCUACAAAUACCAGCUCCCAGCAACAAAUACCAGCUCCCACCACUAACACAACAGCACACAUAACAGCUCCAGAAACUACCAAAACAGCUGCUACAACCACCACAGCAGCUCCAGCAACUACCACAACAGCUGCUGCAACCACCACAACAGCACCCACAACAGCUCCAGAAACUACCACAACAGCUGCUACAACAACCACAGCAGCUCCAGCAACUACCACAACAGCUGCUGCAACCACCACAACAGCACCCAUAACAGCUGCAGCAAUUAUCACAACAGCUCCCACCACUACCACAUUAGCGCCAACAACAGCUCCAGAAACUACCACAACAGCUGCUGCAACCACCACAAAAGCUCCAGCAACUACCACAACAGCUAAUGCAACCACCACAACAACUGCUGGAACCACAAUAACAGCUCCAGCAACCCCCAAAGCAGGUGCCACCACUACCACAACAGCACCCACAACAGCUCCAGAAACAACAGAUGCUGAAACCAUCAAAACAGCUCCAGCAACAACAACAACAGCUCCAGCAACCACCACAACAGCGGCUUCAACUACCACAAUAGCUAUUGCAAGUACCACAACAGCUGCAGCAACUACCACAACAACUCCCACCAAUACCACAACAGCACCCACAACAUCUCCAGAAACUACCAAAACAGCUGCUGCAACCACCACUACAGCUGCUGCAACUACAACAACGGAACCCACAACAGAACGCACAACAUCUGCCACCACUACCACAAAGGCCCCCACAAGAGCUGCUGCAACUUCCACAACAGGUUCCCAAACCACCACAACAGAUGCUGCUGCAACCACCACAACAGCACCCAUAACAGCUGCAGCAAUUACCUCAACAGCUACCACCACUACCACAACAGCACCCACAACAGCUCCAGAAACUACCACAACAGCUGCUGCAACCACCACAACAGCUCCAGCAACUACCAAAACAGUUGCUGCAACCACCACAACAGCUCCAGCAUCUACCACAACAGCUCCCACAACAGCUCCCACCAUUACCACAACAGCUACCACAACAUCUGCUGCAACCACCACAACAGCGGCUGCAACUACCACAACAGCUGCUGCAACCACCACAAUAGCUAUUGCAAGUACCACAACCGCUGCAGCAACUACCACAACUGCUCCUGCGAAUACAACAAUGGAAACCACAACAGAAUCCACAACAUCUGCCACCACUACCACAAAGGCCCCCACUACAGCUGGUGAAAGUUCCACAUCAGCACCCACAACAGGUUCCCAAACCACCACAACAGAUGCUGCUGCAACCACCACAACAGUUCCUGCAACUACAACAAUGGAAACCACAACAUCUGCCGCCACUACCACAAAGGCCCCAACAACAGCUGCUGCAACUUCCACAACAGCACCCACAACAGGUUCCCAAACAACCACAACAGAUGCUGCUGCAACCACCACAACAGCACCCAUAACAGCUGCAGCAAUUACCACAACAGCUCCCCCCACUACCACAACAGCUGCUACAACUACCACAACAGCUGCAGAACCUUCCACAACAGCACCCACAACAGCUCCAGAAACUACCACAACAGCUGCUGCAACUACCACAACAGCUGUUCCAACUACCACAACAGCUGCUGAAACCACAACAACAGCUCCAGCAACCACCACAACAGCUGCUGCAACUACCACAAUAGCUAUUGCAAGUACCACAAUAGCUAUUGCAAGUACCACAACAGCUGCAGCAACUACCACAACAGCUCCUGCAACUAAAACAACAGAAGCCACAACAGAACCCACAACAUCUGCCACCACUACCACAAAGGCCCCCAAUACAGCUGCUGCAACUUCCACAACAGCUCCCACAACAGGUUCCCAAACCACCACAACAGAUGCUGCUGCGACCACCACAACAGCACCCAUAACAGCUGCAGCAAUUACCACAACAGCUCCCACCACUACCACAACAGCACCUACAACAGCUCCAGAAACUACCACAACAGCUGCUGCAACCACCACAACAGCUGCUGCAACCCCCACAACAGCGGCUGAAACCACCACAACAGCUCCAGCAACCACCAAAACAGCUGCUGCAACUACCACAACAGCUCCAGCAACCACCACAAUAGCUAUUACAAGUACCACAACAGCUGCAGCAACUACCACAACAGCUCCCGCCUCUACCACAACAGCACCCACAACAGCUCCAGAAACAACCACAACAGCUGCUGCAACUACCACAACAGCUGCUCCAACUACCACAACAGCUGCCGAACCCAAAACAACAGCUCCAGCAACCACCACAACAACGGCUGCAACUACCACAACAGCUGCUGCAACCACCACAAUAGCUAUUGCAAGUACCACAACAGCUCCGGCAACUACAACAACAGAAGCCACAACAGAACCCACAACAUCUGCCACCACUACCACAAAGACCCCCACAACAGCUGCAGCAACUACCACAACAGCUCCCCUCACUACCACAUCAGCUCCUACAAUUACCACUACCACAAAGACCCCCACAACAGCUGCUGCAACUUCAACAACAGCUCCCACAAAAGGUUCUCAAACCACCAAAACAGAUGCUACUGCAACCACCACAACAGCACCCACAACAGCUGCAAAAACUACCAGAACAGUUACAGCAACAACCACCACAGCUCCUGCAACCACCACAUCAGCGGUUUCAACUACCACAACAGCUGCUGCAACCAAUACAAUAGCUAUUGCAACUACCAAAACAGCUGCAGCAAUUACCACAACAGCUCCCACCACUACCACAACAGCUCCUGCAACUACAACAACGGAAGCCACAACAGAACCCACAACAUCUGCAACCACUACCACAACAGCACCAACAACAGCUCCCACCACUACCACAACAGCACCCACAACAGCUGCUACAACCUCCACAACAGCUGCUGCAACCACCACAACAGAGGCUGCAACUACGACAACAGCUGCUGCAACUACCACAAUAGCUAUUUCAAGUACCACAACAGCUCCUGCAACUACAACAACAGAAGCCACAACAGAACCCACAACAUCUGCCGCCACUACCACAAAGGCCCCAACAACAGCUGCUGCAACUUCCACAACAGCACCCACAACAGCUCCCAACACUACCACAACAGCACCCACAACAGCUCAAGAAACUACCACAACAUCUGCUGAAACCACCACAACAGCGGCUGCAACUACCACAACAGCUGCUGAAACCACUACAAUUGCUAUUGCAAGUACCACAACAGUUGCGGCAACUACCACAACAGCUCCUGCAACUACAAAAACGGAACCCACAACAGAACGCACAACAUCUGCCACCACUACCACAAGAGCUGCUGCAACUUCCACAACAGGUUCCCAAACCACCACAACAGAUGCUGUUGCAACCACCACAACAGCACCCAUAACAACUGCAGCAAUUACCUCAACAGCUACCACCACUACCUCAACAGCACCCACAACAGCUCCAAAGACUACCACAACAGCUGCUGCAACCACCACAACAGCUCCAGCAUCUACCACAACAGCUCCCACAACAGCUCCCACCACUACCAAAACAGCACCCACAACAGCUCCCACCACUACCACAACAGCACCCACAACAGCUCCAGAAACUACCACAACCGCUGCUGCAACCACCACAACAGCUGCUGAAACCACUACAACAGCUCCAGCAACCACCACAACAGCUGCUGCAACUACCACAACAGCUCCAGCAACUACCACAACAGCGGCUGCAACUACCACAACACCUGCUGCAGCAACCACAAUAGCUAUUGCAACUGCCCCAACAGCUGCAGCAACUACCACAACAGCUGCCCUCACUACCACAUCAGCUCCUACAAUUACAACAACGGAAGCCACAACACAACCCACAACAUCUGCCACCAUUACCACAAAGGCCCCCACAAUAGAUGCUGCAACUUCAACAACAGCUCCCACAAAAGGUUCUCAAACCACCAAAACAGAUGCUACUGCAACCACCACAACAGCACCCACAACAGCUGCAAAAACUACCAGAAACAGUUACAGCAACAACCACCACAGCUCCUGCAACCAACCACAUCAGCGGUUUCAACUACCACAACAGCUGCUGCAACCAAUACAAUAGCUAUUGCAACUACCAAAACAGCUGCAGCAAUUACCACAACAGCUCCCACCACUACCACAACAGCCC
Long non-coding RNA from Clupea harengus (Atlantic herring), 8041 nucleotides. Lineage: Eukaryota; Metazoa; Chordata; Actinopteri; Clupeiformes; Clupeidae. The record is from Ensembl.